UGUUCACCUCUUAAAACCCAAAAACACACCGCAGUAGCACCCUAAACUAAAACUACCAAUGGGUUUCCUGUUUUCCUUUCUGAACAAUUCAAAGGUCCCUCUCUAUCUCCCCACACAUCCAUCAACCACUGGAACACAUCUCCAAAGUUCUGCCGGGCCAGCUCAGCUUCCCCUCAGAAGAAGUGCCGCCACCUGCCAGAUGAAGGAGCCUUUUGAGAGCUGGCAUCGUGAUUGGACUGUACUUUGGUCUGUUCCAAUCCAGCUUCAGCUCCAGAGACGGCAGGCGGGACGAGUCAACGGAGGCCGGGUGGACGAAGGCAUGCAGCUGAGUACAAUCCAGAAAACAACAGAGGAGG
This is a long non-coding RNA of Amphiprion ocellaris (clown anemonefish), 356 nucleotides long. NCBI's taxonomy places the organism in Eukaryota, Metazoa, Chordata, Actinopteri, Pomacentridae. The record is from Ensembl.